GAUACAAGAAUUGUUUGUUUGUUGAGUGAAGGAAAUUCGGGGGCGAAUUUCAAUUUAAGGGGGGGAGAAUGUAAUAUCCCAUAUUCCCUUAAAUGCUCAAUUAGUUGUCAGUUGGGACCAAUUGAGUACAUGUGUACUAUAUCUUUGGUUAGUUAUAAUAAUUGAAGCUCCUUUGUGCUCUAAAUGUUGUCAAUUGGGACCAAUAGAGUAACCAGUGAACUCUGAAGAGAUUAAUUAUUAAUAAAGAGACAGACCAAUAUUAAUAAGUACAAGAGAGGACAUUUUUGGUAACAUUAAUAAUUGAUCAAUUGGUGCUGGAAGAUGAAAUAUCAAUUGGGAUAUUUUAUUACUACUUGAUAUUAUUUAUAUAUAUUAUAUGGUACGUGUGGUGGAAAAGGAAAAAAAAGAAGUGGAUAAGAAGAGAGGUGGUAGGUAAGAGGAAAGUAGAGAUAUCAGAAAGAAAGAAAGAAAGAAAGGGAAGAGAAGAGAAAGGGAAAGAAAGAGGAAAAGA
This 511-nucleotide long non-coding RNA is filed under the name Lathyrus oleraceus (garden pea). Its description in RNAcentral is "Pisum sativum (pea) long non-coding RNA (PSAT_LNC036442)". The record is from RNAcentral. Lineage: Eukaryota; Viridiplantae; Streptophyta; Magnoliopsida; Fabales; Fabaceae.